Molecule: long non-coding RNA, 764 nt
Organism: Cavia porcellus (domestic guinea pig)
Lineage: Eukaryota; Metazoa; Chordata; Mammalia; Rodentia; Caviidae
Exons: 5
Source: RefSeq, a predicted model, not a curated record
UCCAAGUGUCACUGAUCUACAGCCACAUCCUCAACAGACCUGUGGCUGAUACCCUGCAAAUUUCCCUCUGCAAAUAGUAUCAGGCAGAGAGAGAGAUGCAUGUCAACAAGCUGGGAAACAUGUGUGGCAACCUAUGCUUUGCUGGCACUGUCCAACUCUCAUGCUGACCAGGAAUGUGGGCAAGUUCUCUCCAGCCCAGAACAGAUGACUUCCUGGCUGCCCUGGAUGGAGGAUCCUUCUGUUUGGUGCACUGAGAUCCCAAGCUGGUACCUGAUGCUCACUGACUGCUUGAGAAAGAAGGGCUCUGACCUCCAGAAGAAUACCCCUCUGGUGCCAGGCAGCCACUCCAGACUCUGGGAGUUGAGACCUGGGAGCAGAGAGCAUGGCACCCACAGUGAAGCCAACCUGUCACGUAACUGCCGGCUGGCUGUGACUGCUGCUGAGAGUCGCACUUGGGAAAUGUGGGGAACUGAUCUUGGCAACAGAGCCCAGGUGUGGAUGCUUGAGAAGCUGAGUUGUCUGCAUGGCUGAGUUCUCUUUUCACCUGCUGGCCACUUCCAGGUCUGUGGAAAGUGUCUGUGCCCGGCCCUUGAACAUCUUCCAGUUCUCAUCUUCUUGUUGGACAGUGUGGCCAGCAUCACAAGGACACAUGAGAACAGAAGCCAGAAGCAUCCAUUUGAAAGGUUCCAUACCAUCGAAUUUGUGGACAUCGUAGAAUCUUCUGGAGCAAUUUGGCAUGGCCCAGAAGUAGAAAAUAAAUAAAC